This 253-nucleotide ribosomal RNA is filed under the name uncultured bacterium. RNAcentral's name for it is "partial 16S ribosomal RNA". It matches the Rfam family "Bacterial small subunit ribosomal RNA", at positions 524 to 776 of the family's 1533-position model. The record is from RNAcentral.
UACGGAGGGUGCGAGCGUUGUCCGGAAUCACUGGGCGUAAAGGGCGCGUAGGUGGCGCGAGAAGUCCGUGGUGAAAGCCCGAGGCUCAACUUCGGGUCUGCCCCGGAGACUCUCGUGCUCGAGUAUGGUAGAGGCUAAUGGAAUUCCGGGUGUAGCGGUGGAAUGCGUAGAGAUCCGGAAGAACACCGGUGGCGAAGGCGGUUAGCUGGGCCAUUACUGACACUGAUGCGCGACAGCGUGGGGAGCAAACAGG